AGGUUUUGACAGGCUGUUUAAAAUAGAAUUGAAUUAAACACACUGUAUCACUAAUAUUGCUAAACUCCCUAUUUUUGGCACUUAGUCGACUACCCUCCCUUACAAGCACCAUUUUCAUUAAAACCAACGUUCAAAACUAAACAAAAAUUAACAGAAUUAUAUAAGCAGUGAACAUUUCUCCCACAUCAACUUAUUGGGUGAAGGAGGUCCCUUUAGAGAUUCAACAACUAGUCAUGAAGGAAAAAAGGGUUUUUCAAGGAAUAUAAGAAGUGUGUGUUCUUGUUUAUUCCAAGUCUGAGGGAAGAUUUUUUUUACUCUAAGGAACUCAGUAGAUGGUAGGUUUGGUUGAAAGGAAAUGAUUUAAUCAAAGAUUUAAGGGCUUAUGGACUAGUCCACUCUAAUUGGAUUUUCUCCGGUGCAAGGAAGGAGAAAGGUUUAGAGGGAAGAUUAAUAGUCUUUAUU
RNAcentral lists this long non-coding RNA (462 nucleotides) under Gossypium barbadense (sea-island cotton). RNAcentral describes it as "long non-coding RNA (GBAR_LNC017329)". The record is from RNAcentral. Lineage: Eukaryota; Viridiplantae; Streptophyta; Magnoliopsida; Malvales; Malvaceae.